AGACGUACCACUGCCUACAGCUAUGAUUACACAUGCAAGCCUCCACAGCCCAGUGCAAACACCCACUACCUAUUUUACUAGUCCAGGAGCCGGUAUCAGGCCCGCACUAGCCAGCCCACAACACCUAGCCAUUGCCACACCCCCACGGACCCCAGCAGUGAUUAACAUUAAGCAAUGAGCAAACCACACUGCUCGACUAAGCAAUAAGCACAUACUCAGAGCCGGUAAACUCCGUGCCAGCCACCGCGGUUAUACGGAGGGCCCACGGCAAACUAUACCCGGCGUAAAGCGUGUUUAGAGAAAAAUUUUCUAUUGGCCAAACUACUCCUGUAUAGUGAUAAAAUACCUCAACCCAUGGAAACCCACCACAAAACCACAAGAAAAACACUUGAUACACGAAAGCGAAGACACAAACUAGGAUUAGAUACCCUACUAUGCUUAAGCCUUUAACCAAGACAAAAUAAACCCUCAGUCCGCCAGAACACUACGAGCAAAAGCUUAAAACUCAAGAGACUUGACGGUGUUGCAAACCGGCCUAGAGGAGCCUGUCCAAUAAUCGAUAACCCACGCUCCACCUCACCCCCCCUAGCCUGCAGCCUAUAUACCGCCGUCGAAAGCCCACCUUUUGAAAGCCUCCACCGUGAGCAAGAUAGUCAGACCACUAACACGUCAGGUCAAGGUGUAGCUAAUGGGGCGGACACAAGAUGGGCUACAUUUUCUACCACAGGACCUACCAUAUACCGCAUGAAACACGGACAAAAGCUGGAUUUAGCAGUAAGCACAACUAGAUAAGUCGUACUGAAACCAGCGCUGCAACACGU
RNAcentral lists this non-coding RNA (821 nucleotides) under Paroedura oviceps. RNAcentral describes it as "partial 12S ribosomal RNA". It matches the Rfam family "Bacterial small subunit ribosomal RNA", at positions 16 to 1384 of the family's 1533-position model. Lineage: Eukaryota; Metazoa; Chordata; Lepidosauria; Squamata; Gekkonidae. The record is from RNAcentral.